This 253-nucleotide ribosomal RNA is filed under the name uncultured Paludibacter sp. Its description in RNAcentral is "partial 16S ribosomal RNA". It matches the Rfam family "Bacterial small subunit ribosomal RNA", at positions 524 to 776 of the family's 1533-position model. The record is from RNAcentral. Lineage: Bacteria; Pseudomonadati; Bacteroidota; Bacteroidia; Bacteroidales; Paludibacteraceae.
UACGGAGGAUCCAAGCGUUAUCCGGAUUUAUUGGGUUUAAAGGGUGCGUAGGCGGACCUAUAAGUUAGUGGUGAAAGUUUGCAGCUUAACUGUAAAAUUGCCAUUAAAACUGUAGGACUUGAGUGUAAAGGAGGCAGGCGGAAUGUGUUGUGUAGCGGUGAAAUGCAUAGAUAUAACACAGAACACCAAUUGCGAAGGCAGCUUGCUAUCAUACAACUGACGCUGAGGCACGAAAGCGUGGGGAUCAAACAGG